RNAcentral lists this transfer RNA (59 nucleotides) under Onchocerca lupi. RNAcentral describes it as "tRNA-Lys". Lineage: Eukaryota; Metazoa; Nematoda; Chromadorea; Rhabditida; Onchocercidae. The record is from RNAcentral.
UAAAGGAUUAUUUUAAAUUUAGAAUUUUUGACUCUUAAUCAAAAGGUUUUCUCCUUUGU